UUUAAGACAAACAUAACUUUCAAAGAAUCUAUUGAAAUGCCGGGAAAGCAGCCGUGUCCGAUUAUUCGGAAACGUUGAAAAUGAAGAAAUAAACAGAAUUCUACCGAUAUUUUGGUGACAGAACAAACCGUGAAAGGGGACUACAUCGCAUUGUCCGUAAAAUACUUUUUUGCCAUACAACUCUGUACAAGUUGCUAGGGAUUUGUUUCAGUGUGCUCAUGACAGUACAUAACAAAGACCCACACAAAAGACACAAAAAACAUAGAACAUCAUUUUAUCCAUGCAGUAUCCUUCCAAGGAUCCCACUUAGAUAUGACAUAUAGGCAGAUAAAAGAAAAAGGGACAUCCCCACACAUAAGACAGAUAGCUCACUUCCACCUGGUUGACAGGCCAGGGUAAUUGCUGUAUGUUCGAUUAAAGUGACAGGUGCUUAUAGGUGCAAGUCAUGUGCAAGUUGGCAUGGAGCAAGUCAUGUGCAAAUCUGCAUAAGGUCCAAUAAAUAAGUACAUAGUUAAGAAAAACUCACAGUAUAUAAAAACAGAGGCCACUGGGGGAGUCUGCAUUCCUGAUAUACUGGUGUAGGGAUGUAGAGUUGAUAAGAGAUUUAAUGGUUCUGCAGUAUGUGCUUUUGAGGAAGCGGGAGGUUUUAGUUUUGAUGGCCCUCAACCUUCUACCUGAUGGGAGUGGAUUGAAGAGGGAGUUAGCAGGGUGUCAUUUAUCCUGAAGAGUUUUCAGGCCUCUACUGUGGAUACGGGCCUCGUAGAUGUCUGAGAUGGGAGGGAGACUGCAGCCAACUAUCUUGCAGGCCGUAUGGACAAUCCUGUCUAGUCGCAUCCUCUGCUGGACAGUAGAGUUGCCAUACCAGACUGUGAUUGAGAACGUAAGGACGCUCUCAAUGGUGGCUCGGUAGAACUGCUGCAUCCCCUUGCAGGACAUCCCAAACUUCUUUA
Molecule: long non-coding RNA, 950 nt
Organism: Gadus macrocephalus (Pacific cod)
Lineage: Eukaryota; Metazoa; Chordata; Actinopteri; Gadiformes; Gadidae
Exons: 2
Source: RefSeq, a predicted model, not a curated record